GAUGAACGCUGACAGAAUGCUUAACACAUGCAAGUCGAUGGGGAAGUGGUGCUUGCACCAUGGCAACCAUGGCGGACGGGUGAGUAACGCGUAAGGGACUUACCUGCAGGACUGGGAUAACAGGGGGAAACUCCUGACAAGACCGGAUAAUGUCAUGGAGCUGCAUGGCUUUAUGAUGAAAGGAGACGCCUGCGGAGAGCCUUGCGUCCUAUUAGCUAGUUGGUGAGGUAAUGGCUCACCAAGGCGAAGAUAGGUAGCCGGCCUGAGAGGGUGGACGGCCACAAGGGGACUGAGAUACGGCCCUUACCCCUACGGGAGGCAGCAGUGGGGAAUAUUGGACAAUGGGGGCAACCCUGAUCCAGCAAUUCUGUGUGCACGAAGAAGGUUUUCGGAUUGUAAAGUGCUUUCAGCAGGGAAGAAGUAAGUGACGGUACCUGCAGAAGAAGCGACGGCUAAAUACGUG
RNAcentral lists this ribosomal RNA (463 nucleotides) under uncultured bacterium. Its description in RNAcentral is "partial 16S ribosomal RNA". It matches the Rfam family "Bacterial small subunit ribosomal RNA", at positions 28 to 507 of the family's 1533-position model. The record is from RNAcentral.